GGUCAAGUUGUUAAGGGCACAU
Molecule: ribosomal RNA, 22 nt
Filed under: uncultured Actinomycetales bacterium
Lineage: Bacteria; Bacillati; Actinomycetota; Actinomycetes; Actinomycetales
Description: partial 23S ribosomal RNA
Source: RNAcentral